GACGAACGCUGGCGGCGUGCUUAACACAUGCCAGUCGAACGGAAAGGCCCUGCUUUUGUGGGGUGCUCGAGUGGCGAACGGGUGAGUAACACGUGAGUAACCUGCCCUUGACUUUGGGAUAACUUCAGGAAACUGGGGCUAAUACCGGAUAGGAGCUCCUGCUGCAUGGUGGGGGUUGGAAAGUUUCGGCGGUUGGGGAUGGACUCGCGGCUUAUCAGCUUGUUGGUGGGGUAGUGGCUUACCACGGCUUUGACGGGUAGCCGGCCUGAGAGGGUGACCGGCCACAUUGGGACUGAGAUACGGCCCAGACUCCUACAGGAGGCAGCAGUGGGGAAUAUUGCACAAUGGGCGGAAGCCUGAUGCAGCAACGCCGCGUGCGGGAUGACGGCCUUCGGGUUGUAAACCGCUUUCGCCUGUGACGAAGCGUGAGUGACGGUAAUGGGUAAAGAAGCACCGGCUAACUACGUG
Molecule: ribosomal RNA, 468 nt
Filed under: uncultured bacterium
Lineage: Bacteria
Description: partial 16S ribosomal RNA
Rfam family: Bacterial small subunit ribosomal RNA
Source: RNAcentral